GGGGACGCCCCGGUUUCGACGGUGUUCGCGGAAGGUGAAGUGGCGAGCCGAGGAUGGUCGUGGGCCUCGUAAAUCAUUCGACCAAGCCAUUAACUGGCAACAACAGCGACUCGUUCGCACUGGCUGCUUAAUCCCAGCCCAGCAAUCGUAAAGCCCGGCCAUUGGCGCUACGCGAGCUGACACAAAAGAUGGCUAGCUUUGGAAGAAGCCUCGGCUUCCCGAGUGAAACUUAGAGGAUGGAUUCAAAAGUAGCCUGUCCUUGGGCGACUGAGAAUCGAGACCUAAAAUGAGGACUACGCUCGUAGAAGCCCACUGAAGCAGCAUCGGACGAGGGUUCGACUCCCUCCGUCUCCACCA
This 357-nucleotide transfer-messenger RNA is filed under the name Deinococcus metallilatus. RNAcentral describes it as "Standard tmRNA". It matches the Rfam family "transfer-messenger RNA". From Rfam's summary of the family: Bacterial tmRNA, also known as 10Sa RNA or SsrA, is named for its dual tRNA and mRNA-like properties. Its role is to liberate the mRNA from a stalled ribosome. Lineage: Bacteria; Thermotogati; Deinococcota; Deinococci; Deinococcales; Deinococcaceae. The record is from RNAcentral.